CCCCACAAUUAUUUUGGACUCCGUCGGUCGUGCGAGUGUUUCGCGCUUUGAAAAAUUGAAACAGCAAAAACUCGCGCCGCGCCACUGAAACAUAAAAACAUGGUUUACGCGAAAACACACAAAUUAUGGAUAUUUUCUCGACCACACUCCGCUGAAAACAACAAGUGAACGUCUAUAAAAAUUGUGUAAACAGCUGUAUUGAACUCAUUAAAAUAUAUUGUUUAUAUUCUUUUGGGAUGCUAUUUGCAGAGAGAGGCUGAAAAAUACACCCCGGUCCGGUCCCAGCGGCCCCUUCUCCCACCCUAAAUAAGGGCCUGGAAUGUAGUGUUUAUGUGUAUUGGUGCGGUCCAGUUUUGUGUAUAUCAAAGUCCUUUGCGUGUUUACCGAUUGUGCAGGAAAAUUAAGAAAAGCCAGUGGAAAAGUUCUGGCUGCUGGAGAAAAGUGUGCGGAAAAAAGCAAAAAGGACAACGAAUUAGUCAUUAGAUCAGAGGCAGCGCUCCCCUGCUCACUACGGCGCAUCCUGUCCGUUUGUGUAUGUGUACGUGUGUGUAUGUGUAGUGGUGUCUAUUUUCGUAGUUCCGCCGGUUUUGGCACAACAACAAAACAGCAGCAAAAGCAGCAGCACCACCAACAACAACAACUUGUUUGUUCCAUGCUUCAACGCUUCCCGAACCCUUUGCCGCUGGAGUAGGAGGAGGGUGAAGAGGAAUUCGAGAGAAUGGAGCGUAAAUUUACGCGCGGCUUGAAUAAGCUAACUUCGGCGGGCCAGAUGAGAGAGAAUGUCUCUCAGCUGGUGCGUGAGAGUGCCGUUUUGAAGAACAGCACUGGGAGCUUUCAGCGUAGUCUCUCUAUUGCGAGCAAACCUCUUGUGGUGGAGCCCAUAGAUUUUGAGGCGUUUGUGGCCAAAAAUAAAACAGUAAUCCAAAAUGAUCCGCAAAGGGAGUUGCUCAUCUAUCCAGCAGAUGAUGUCUCGGAGAUCAUUAUGCCACGGAAGCAGCGCACGACAGCCAAAUCGGUGGCUGAUCGCUUUGAGCCACCCAACGAGGCGAUUGUGUGUCCAUUGCAUGGCGCUUUAAUGGGGAAUGGGAAUGGUCACAGUCAGGUGAGCCGCCAGGGCAGCACUCAAUCGAAUGGCAGUCUCCACAAUGGGAAUGGAAAUGGACACAGCAGCUGCAGCAGUCUGAGCAGCGCCAAUGGGCACGGCGCCCAGCUGUCACGCAAGAGUUCACAGUGCUCGUCGAAUGGCUCCACAAGUCAGAAAGUGUCACAGGAGUCAUCCUAUGAGUCGGCCCUGUCCUCCAUCACACUGCGUUCGCAUCUCGCCCAGCCCGAAGAGGCGGAUGAGUUCGAGUUGGCGGAUGAGCCGUCACAUGGAGACGAGCAGGGCACUCAGCAGGGAUCACGUGCCGAGUGCACGAGGUUCACACGGCAGGCGCUUUACACCUACAGAGCCAAGAACCAUUUGAUCCAUUAUAAAUAUAAUGCCUACGGUGGAAACUGUCAUGAUUUGCCCAGCAUCUCUCCGGCGGAGGAGCUUCUCGAAGAAGUGUACGAAAUCGAUGCUGAUCAGGAUCGCAUUGAUGAGCAAAUGACACGCUCUCAGGCGGAUACGAUCACCAAGCAGGGAUAUCUGCUGAAAGGACCCGAUUCGGCUGCCGAUCGAAUGUUUGCCAAUAUAGGAAACAAAUCGUUUAAGCGUCGCUAUUGCUAUCUGCGGCAGGAGAUCGAUGGCACCUAUAUGCUGGAGCUGCACAAGGAUGAGAAGCAGGGCGACGCCAAGGCCACCAUUGUCAUGGAUUUCUGCACAGAAGUUGUCCAAAAUCCGAAGCGUGGACGCUUUUGCUUUGAACUACGCAUGACAACGGGCCAUAAGUCGUUCACCCUGGCCGCCGAGAACGAGCAGGACUUUAAGGAUUGGCUGGGGAAACUCUCAUCAGUGCUGGCCCAGAAUCGUGCCCAGGAGGAGAAGCGCAAUGCCUCGCUCGAGCGCCAGCCAGGUCCGCAGCUGCUGCAGCCAGCGGAACAGCAGCCCACAUUUGGGACCCUAAAGGGGCUCGAUCAAUCGCUGCAUCCGCAGUUGAUGAAGUACGGCAGGGAGACAGAUCACUCGAUUGCCCUGGCCAGGAAGGAGCAGCGCCGACGCCUGUUUGCCUGCUAUCAGACCGCCUCGAAGGCCACAUCCAGUGAUAGUGUGGAGCAGUAUCGCGAGCAUUUCGGCACACGAAUGCUCCUCACGUGCCACAGUCUGCGCUUUCGACUGCAGUGUGUGGCGGCAGAUGCUGGGCCCGGGCAGGAUGCAGAGCAGCAGGUGGAGCCGUAUAUCACCAGCCUGGCGCUGUACGAUGCCAAGGCGGGGCGCAAGUUGAGCGAAAGCUUCUACUUCAAUGUGAAUGACUCGUGGAAUGCCCAACUGCUGCCGAAUACACCUGUUCCAGCCUCAGUGGCGGGCUGUGGCGUGCCCCGUCGUGCCACAGAGGGGGAUGACAGGAGUGCCUCGCAGGCCCCACACUCCCUCUUCGAUAGUGUGUCCGCGGAGCUGCUGCGCUGUCCCCGACAGCAGUUCCAGCAGCUGCGGCAGUGCCUGCUCUCGGUGCGUGCCCCCCAUGCGGACAUCUAUCUGGUGGUGCGAGUGGAGAAGGUGCUGCAAUGUGGCAUUGCGCAGGCCGCAGAGCCCUACCUGAAGGCGGGCAAGGAUCCGAAGCUCGGCCAAAAGGUGUGUAAGGCGGCCAAGAGCUGCGCCCAGCACAUCGGACACUACCGCCAGCCGUUUGCCUGGGCGGCCAAGCCUCUGUUCAAGCUCUACAGCCACGAACUGGACGUGGAGCCGCACAAGGACUUCGACUUUAGUCCCAUCUAUCGCCAGGAGCUGCCCAAGCUCAAGGACGAGGAGUUGCUCAAGCUCCUGGUGGACUAUCGCAAGCCGGAGAAGCUCAGCAAGCUGACCAUCAUCCCGGGGCACCUCAAGAUGCAGCUGCAGAUCCUAGAGCAGACAGUGCCCUGCGGUCUCAGCAAAUCCCUGGCUCCCCUCUCGACCUUCAGUCCGGCUUCCAAGCAGCCGCCGACCCUCGAGCUGGCUGAAUUCCAAAACCAAAGCGAAAGGGAGGCCCAUCCGUACACGAGCUUCUGCAAUCAUCUGUAUGUGUAUCCGUUGAGUCUGCAGUUCGAUAGCCAGAAGCUGUUCUCGCGGGCCAGGAACAUCACGGUCGUGGUGGAGCUCAGAGAUGGCGAUGGGGAGUACAGUAAGCCCUUGAAGUGCAUCUAUGGUCGACCUGGACAUGAUCUGCUAGUCUCACAAAUAGCCUGUCCCGUACUCCAUCAUAACGUCACCCCCACAUGGUACGAGGAGAUAAAAUUGCGUCUUCCUCUGGGUCUCUUUCCCGAGCACCAUUUGCUCUUCUCCUUCUACCAUGUGUCCUGUAAUCUGAGCAAGAAGCGAUCCGAUGCCCAGGCGGCCUUUGAGACGCCCAUUGGGUAUGCCUGGCUGCCGUUGCUGCAAAAGAAUCGCAUCUGUCUGGAGGAGCAGUCGCUGCCAGUGGCCGCCACAUUGCCAGUGGGAUAUCUGUCCAUACAGCCACUGGGCUGGGGCAAGGGGCAGAACUGCGGCCCCGACAUCCAAUGGAUCGACAAUCAGCGUCCCUUGUACACGGUGACCCUGCGACUGGACUCCACAGUGCUGACGGCGGAUCAGCAUCUGCACAACUUCUUUGCGCACUGCGAGCGUCUGCUGGAGGGUGGCAAGACGGGGGCACUGCCAGCGGAAACGGAGACCUGCAAGAUUCUCAAGGCAGCGCACGCCAUCGACAUGUGUUCGCUGAUCAGUUACCUGCCGACGCUCCUGAACGAACUGUUUACGCUGCUAGUGCAUACGCAGUCCGAGGAAAUUGGCCUGAAUGUGAUACGUCUGCUGACCAACAUCAUCCAUCUGAUAAGCUUCGACGCGAAGCGUCCCGAUCUGCUGGCCUCGUAUGUGAAGUACGUUUUCCACGCCCCGUACUACAGCCAGCAGACGGCCCGCCUGAGGACAGUGCAUGGGGAGCUGUGCAGGCAUUUGCCCUAUCUGCUGAAUCCCAAGAAUACGGACUUCCUGAUCGUCAACAAAUUCAUGCGCUAUUCGGCCAUCUUCUUCGAUUUGAUUGUGAAGAGCAUGGCCCAGCACCUGCUGGCGACCGGGAGGAUUCGAAUGCUGCGCAACGAACGCUUUCCCAAGGAGUAUGCAGAUCGGGUGGAGCAGCUGAUCAAGGUGUUGAUCAUCUACAUCACGACGCGCUACGAUGAUUUGGGAGAGGAGACACAGCUGCUCAACCGUUCGUUGGCUCGCUUUGUGCGGCAGUGUCUCAGCUACAUGGAUCGGGGAUUUGUCUAUCGUUUGAUACGAUGCUACAUGCAGGAGUUUACACCCGGCAAUCCGCGGGUGCUGCAUGAAUACAAGUUCAACUUCCUGCAGGAGAUUUGCCAGCACGAACACUAUGUGCCGCUCAACCUGCCCUUUGUGCUGAAUCCAAAGAAUCGUCCGCCCGAGAUGAUGCAACACUUUACGCUCUCCGAGGAGUUCUGUCGUCAGCAUUUUCUCUCGGGUCUGCUGCUGCAGGAGCUGAAGAGCAGCCUCAACGAGGUGGGCCAUGUGCGGCGGCAUGCCCUGGCCAUCUUCAAGGACCUGCUGGCCAAGCACGAGCUGGACGGACGCUACCAGCAGCGCGGACAGCUCUCGCGCAUCGCUCUGCUGUACGUGCCAUGGCUGGGCAUUGUCAUGGACAAUCUGCAUCGCAUAGAUGACUUGUCCGAGGCGGCGGGAGCUACCACUCCCAACGGGCACGUCUAUGUGGAUUCCGCCUCGUACACGAAACGCCUGAGCUGCUCGAGCAGCUACGUUUUCAGCAAGGAUUCCUCGACAUUUGGCUCGUUGACGUCCACGCCGCGCUCGAAGAAUCGAAUGACAUUGCACAAUGAUCAGCUCAGUCCGUGCCGGACUUCGGUCCACAUGAGGGAGAACAAUUUUCUGGCAGCCAUUGCGGGACAGCCCAUAAGCAAUGGGAUAUCCAAUCUAUCCCUUAAUUCGAACACGGAUUCGGGGCACUCGCAGGACACCACCACCAUUGGGGCAUACACCAACGGGGAGGCAGAUGUGGCCCUGCGGAAUGGUCACAACCGUUCCGUGAGCUUCACGCACGCCCAGAUCUUGUCACGCUGCGACAAGUUUAGUGUUGGGGAGAGCAAGGAUCUGCUGUUGGGAUUCCUCUUUAUUGUGAAGCACUUGUCGCAGGAUCAAAUGGUUGCCUGGUGGCAGAACUGCAACGAAACAGAGACCCUGCAGUUUCUGGCCAUACUCGAUCUUUCGCUGCAGCAGUUCCGCUAUGUGGGCAAGAAGAGUGUGCUGCUGACGGCGGACUCGCGUCAGAUGCGUGCUACGAAGGCGCACACGCUGCCCGCGAGGACUGCCCCACCCACAGGUCUGGAGAACGGCCAUCAGCAGGAGCAACAGCAGCCGAGCAGUGGCACUCUGAAUCAGCCAAGAGAACAUCUGUUGGAGGACAUGGCCAGGACACAGCUGGCUCUCUACGAAUCAAAUUUGGCCACAGAGGUGGGCAUGAUCAUCCUCGACUGCCUCGGCAUGUAUGUCCUGCAGUUCCGUCAGCUGCUAACCGACAGCCUGGUGCUGCGCAAGCUGGCGAGGGUAUAUUUGCGCUUCCUGCAGUUGGGGCAGUCGGAGAGACUCUCCAAGCAUGUGUUUGCCGCCCUGCGCGCGUUCAUCAACAACUAUUCGGUGGCCCUGUUCAAGGGCAAUGCCAUGCUGUGCGGCCAGAUGGUGUACGAGCUGUUGAAGGCCUGCGACAGUCGCCUGGUGGAGAUCCGACACGAAUCCUGUGCCGUUCUGUAUCUGCUGAUGCGCAGCAAUUUCGAGUUUAGCGGUCGCAAGGCUUUGACACGCGUUCACCUGCAAGUCAUAAUUUCGGUGUCGCAGAUGAUCGGCAAUGUGAUUGGGCUGAACAAUGCCCGAUUCCAGGAGAGUCUUUCGAUCAUCAAUAGCUACGCCAACAGCGACAAGGCCAUGAAGGGCACCGGCUUCCCCAUGGAGGUGAAGGACCUAACGCGUCGCGUGCGCACUGUCCUCAUGGCCACCGCCCAGAUGCAGGCCCAUCACAUGGACCCCGAGAGGCUGCUCGAGCUGCAGUAUUCGCUGGCCAAUUCGUAUGCCUCCACACCCGAGCUGCGGCACACCUGGCUGGUCACCAUGGCCCGGAAUCACGAGCAGAACGGCAAUCUCUCGGAGGCCGCAUGCUGUCAUCUGCAUAUCGCUGCCCUCAUGUGCGAGUAUCUCCGCCUGCGUGGCACCGCCUGCUCCAGUCUCAGUUGGUCCUCGGCGGCCUUUGGCAAGAUAUCACGCAACAUACCGCUGGAUGAGCAGGGGCUCAAGCUAGAUGCUGGCGCCCAGGACUCGCAGUACACCGAAUAUAUGCUGCUCGAACAGCUAAAGCAGUGCGCUGAUCUGCUAGAUCGUGCCGAGCGUUUCGAGUGCCUCGGCGAUCUGUACAAACUCAUUCUGCCCAUCCACGAGAGGGCCCGCGACUUCAUCGAACUGUCUAAUUGUUACGAGCACCUGGCCCAGGCCUACAGCAAGAUUGUGGAGGUCAAUCGGUCGGGCAAACGCAUGCUGGGACGCUUCUAUAGGGUUGUCUUUUACGGCAUGAUGUACUUCGAGGAGGAUCAUGCCAUUGAGUAUGUGUACAAGGAGCCCAAACUCACGUCGUUGAGUGAGAUCUCCGAGCGUCUGGCCAAGCAAUACAAGGAGAAAUUUGGAGCGGAUGUUGUUAAGCUAAUCAUGGACUCGUCACCGGUCAAAGUCGAUGAAUUGGAUGCCAAGUUGGCCUACAUACAGGUCACCCAUGUGAUCCCCUUCUUUACCAAAACAGAGCUCGAUCAGCGCCUCAAUGAAUUCGAGCAGAAUCAUGAUGUGAACACCUUUAUGUACGAGACACCGUUCACCAAGUCGGGAGCAGCACGUGGCAGCGUUGAGGAGCAGUGGAAGCGCAAGACAGUCAUAGAGACUACAUACUCGUUUCCCUAUGUGCUGAAGCGUAUUCCUGUCAAGUCCCGCGAGAUCAUCGAACUGAGUCCCAUUGAAGUGGCCAUCGAUGAGAUGCAAUCCAAGGUUUCAGAGCUGGAGGAGAUUAUCAUGCCGCCAGCCGAUGUGAAGAAGUUGCAAUUGCGCCUGCAAGGCAGCGUCGCGGUGACGGUAAAUGCCGGUCCCCUGGCCUAUGCACAUGCCUUUCUGGAUACCAAGGUCAUCAAUAACUUUUCGCUCGAUCGCGUUGGUGAUCUGAAAGAUGUUUUUCGUGACUUCAUUGGCGUCUGCCACAAGGCUUUGUGCGUGAACGAGCGCAUGAUCAGUGCCGAUCAGAAGGAGUACCAUCAUGUGCUGAAGGAGAACUACGAGAAACUGUGUCAGGCGCUUAGUGAGUUGCUCGACGACGAGUCCUUCCAGCCGCUUAGCGAAGAUGCUGAAAGCAUAAAUCAGCGCAAUAGCAUGGCUUUGUUCAACGCGAUCAGUGGCGCCUCACAUAACUCAAGUACUGCAUAAGUUACUCAAACCAAAAAACAAAACACAAAAGUACACGCACAGCUACUAAAAAAAACAGAGAUAAUAUUCGUAGAGAGCGUAGAGCGUGAAGCGGUUCGUUACCCUAGAGUGUAACCCCAGCGUAAUCGUAGCCCUAAAACUUGUUUGGUGUUCCUUUGUUUGAUGUUCUUGUUGAAAUUGAAAUUUCCUUGUGGCAGGAUUGUAUUUUGUCGAGCAAGAUACCACCACCCACCACUACCACCACCACCACCACCAACACCAUCCCCACAUACACACACAGAACUCUAGA
RNAcentral lists this unclassified non-coding RNA (7865 nucleotides) under Drosophila pseudoobscura pseudoobscura. RNAcentral's name for it is "GA19738". The record is from RNAcentral. Lineage: Eukaryota; Metazoa; Arthropoda; Insecta; Diptera; Drosophilidae.